This 195-nucleotide non-coding RNA is filed under the name Planococcus rifietoensis. RNAcentral's name for it is "T-box sequence". It matches the Rfam family "T-box leader". Rfam says of the family: Uncharged tRNA acts as the effector for transcription antitermination of genes in the T-box leader family. T-boxes are found upstream of many aminoacyl-tRNA synthetase genes and some amino acid biosynthetic genes usually in Gram-positive bacteria. The record is from RNAcentral. Lineage: Bacteria; Bacillati; Bacillota; Bacilli; Caryophanales; Caryophanaceae.
CAAAUGGCCGUGAAGAGGAGCAGUAGGACAUAUAUGCAUAAAAGAGAGCCGGCGGAUGGUGCGAGCCGGCAUGCAGGAUGUCUGAACUCGCCUUGGAGUCUGCGCAAUGAUUGCGCCGUUUUCCGCGUUAAGGAAUCAAGUUGAGCGCCUGAGCGCUAAUUUGGGUGGUACCGCGGGAAAAAUCCCGUCCCUUAG